GACGAACGCUGGCGGUAUGCUUAACACAUGCAAGUCGAACGAGACAAAAGAGAAGUGCUUGCACGGAUCUUUUAGAAAGUGGCGAACGGGUGAGUAACGCGUGGGUAACCUGCCCUAUGGAAAGGAAUAGCCUCGGGAAACUGGGAGUAAUGCCUUAUAAGAUAUAUUUGUCGCAUGGCAGAUGUAUUAAACGCUCCGGUGCCAUAGGAUGGACCCGCGUCCCAUUAGCUAGUUGGUGAGAUAACAGCCCACCAAGGCGACGAUGGGUAACCGGUCUGAGAGGGCGAACGGUCACACUGGAACUGAGACACGGUCCAGACUCCUACGGGAGGCAG
This 335-nucleotide ribosomal RNA is filed under the name uncultured Bacillota bacterium. Its description in RNAcentral is "bacterial SSU rRNA". It matches the Rfam family "Bacterial small subunit ribosomal RNA", at positions 28 to 351 of the family's 1533-position model. The record is from RNAcentral. Lineage: Bacteria; Bacillati; Bacillota.